AGGGGAGUGGCUCAAUGGUAGAGCAACGGUCUCCAAAACCGUGGGUUGCGGGUUCGAAUCCUGUCUCCCCUGCCA
This 75-nucleotide transfer RNA is filed under the name Bacillota bacterium. Its description in RNAcentral is "tRNA-Trp". It matches the Rfam family "tRNA". From Rfam's summary of the family: Transfer RNA (tRNA) molecules are approximately 80 nucleotides in length. The record is from RNAcentral. Lineage: Bacteria; Bacillati; Bacillota. RNAcentral also lists the same sequence under 4 other names.